Molecule: transfer RNA, 55 nt
Filed under: Drosophila gibberosa
Lineage: Eukaryota; Metazoa; Arthropoda; Insecta; Diptera; Drosophilidae
Description: tRNA-Arg
Source: RNAcentral
GAAUAUGAAGCGAUAAAUUGCAAUUAGUCGACCUAAUUUUAGGUAAAUUACCCUU